AGAGUUUGAUCCUGGCUCAGGACGAACGCUGGCGGCGCGCCUAACACAUGCAAGUCGAACGAGCGAGAGAGAGCUUGCUUUCUCAAGCGAGUGGCGAACGGGUGAGUAACGCGUGAGUAACCUGCCCUGGAGUGGGGGACAACAGUUGGAAACGACUGCUAAUACUGCAUAAGCCCACGGCCCGGCAUCGGGCUGAGGGAAAAGGAUUUAUUCGCUUCAGGAUGGACUCGCGUCCAAUUAGCUAGUUGGUGAGGUAACGGCCCACCAAGGCGACGAUUGGUAGCCGGACUGAGAGGUUGAACGGCCACAUUGGGACUGAGACACGGCCCAG
Molecule: ribosomal RNA, 331 nt
Filed under: uncultured bacterium
Lineage: Bacteria
Description: bacterial SSU rRNA
Rfam family: Bacterial small subunit ribosomal RNA
Source: RNAcentral